GGAAGGAUCAUCAAAGAGUAUACAACUUGUUGCACAUAUACUCGUACGUAUCAAGGUGCUGGGCGACCACCGUUGCCAACACUGCGAUAUUAAUACCCGACUCGCUUCAGUUGGGUUUAAAGGGAAAACGGAAUCAUUCCAUGACGGUGCUUAUGCUGGAUUGCCAAGUCGACAGUGUUGUUCCGUCUGUCGUCGCACAUUGGCUGUCUGGUGGUGCGGCUGUCCGCUCACGCUGCGUGAGAGGGAGUUGCAAGCUCAAUGAGCGCCCAUUCGGCGCCGCCGUCAACUACACACAAUACCAUGAAACACGAACUUUUAACACAAAUUAUUCCGAGCGGUGGAUCACUCGGCUCAUGGGUCGAUGAAAAGCGCAGCCAAAUGCGUGACUUAAUGCGAAUUGCAGACACAUUGAGCAUCGACAUCUUGAACGCACAUGGCGGCAUCGGGGUCUCGAUCCCGAUGCCACGCCUGUUCGAGGGUUGCACAAGCAAUGAAGGGCAGUUGCCGAUUGUGGGGGUUUGCACUUUUGUAAUGACUGGGCAAAUGCGCGCUCUCGGAUGACAAAACUGGUGCGCGGUGGAUGUGUCGCGGUCUGUUCUCUAACGAUUCUUGAGUUCGGAUGGUGGCUGUCUGGCUGCAUUAGAUUCUGCAUUGGCGAUACACAGAGCAACUAACUACUACCAACGGUGGUUGCGCUGUCCAGUAGCCUGCUUCGCGCUGUGACAAGUGCCGACGAAAGCCAUUCGUCUGCUUCGCACUUGGAACGCAUAUGGUCGUGGGGCGGGUGAAAAUGGACGGUGCUUUUUACAAGUUCAACCUCGGAUCAGACGUGACUACCCGCUGAAUUUAAGCAUAUCACUAGGCGGAGGAAAAGAAACUAACCAGUAUUCCCUGAGUAACGGCGAGUGAAACGGGAAAAGCCCAGCACCGAAUCCCGCAGUGCUUCACUGUUGGGACAUGUGGUGUUAAGGUGGUGCUAUCCGGCAUCGUUGCGUGCUCUAAGUUCUCUUGACCGAGACCACAGACCAUAGAAGGUGCGAGUCCUGUGAGGGUGGGCGGCGUGUCGGUGUGCGCUACCGUGGAGUCGAGUUGCCUGAGAUCGCAGCUCAAAGCAGGUGGUAAGCCUCACCUAAGGCUAAAUACAACCAUGAGACCGAUAGCAAACAAGUACUGUGAAGGAAAGUUGCAAAGAACUUUGAAGAGAGAGUUCAAGAGGACGUGAAACUGCUCGGAAGGAAACAGGUAGAGCCACUGAUAGUGUGCGUGUUACAGGCUGGCGACUGGUGGCCGCGUGCAUUGCGAUUCGUAAGAGUGCGGUGUGCGUGCGCUGUUGGUUGUCGGUUGCAUUUCACGUGCAUGCGCGCCGAGGGCGAUCGGUUGUUCCUUGUGUGCGCGUCGGUGGACGGGACUCCCUGGAGUUACCAGCCGGCGUAGUGCACUUGUGUAACGGCUAAUUGUUUGUAUGCCGGCGGUGCGCAUUCGGGUGCUUCGGUUGUUGUCCGUGUGGGCAAGCGCUUGCGCAAGCUUGUGCGGGUGGUGACUGACGUGCUCAUUUGCCGUCUGGUGUCGUCUCGGUGUACAAGGUGGCCACCUACCUGACCCGUCUUGAAACACGGACCAAGGAGUCUAACAUGCCUGCGAGUGAAUGGGUGACAAAACCCAGACGCGUAAUGAAAGUGAAGUCGGCUUGCCGAUUGACACACGACCCGUUCCUCGUGGGCGGUGCAGUGUGGUGUCGUCAUGAUUGCUUGCAAUGUGGCGAACACAGAGCAGUCAUGUUGGGACCCGAAAGAUGGUGAACUAUGCCUGAGCAGGACGAAGCCAGAGGAAACUCUGGUGGAGGUCCGAAGCGGUUCUGACGUGCAAAUCGAUCGUCAGACUUGGGUAUAGGGGCGAAAGACUAAUCGAACCAUCUAGUAGCUGGUUCCCUC
RNAcentral lists this unclassified non-coding RNA (1931 nucleotides) under uncultured fungus. Its description in RNAcentral is "sequence contains 18S rRNA gene, ITS1, 5.8S rRNA gene, ITS2, 28S rRNA gene". The stretch from base 814 to 1931 matches the Rfam family "Eukaryotic large subunit ribosomal RNA", at positions 1 to 961 of the family's 3401-position model. Lineage: Eukaryota; Fungi. The record is from RNAcentral.